This is a long non-coding RNA of Pungitius pungitius (ninespine stickleback), 1502 nucleotides long. RefSeq lists it as uncharacterized. The transcript is spliced from 3 exons. The record is from RefSeq and is a predicted model, not a curated record. Lineage: Eukaryota; Metazoa; Chordata; Actinopteri; Perciformes; Gasterosteidae.
GCACCUUCUACGAUCGGUGGCGAGCAGAGCAGUACGUCAAGCGGAAAAAACAUCUGCUCUCACGUUUCACAAUUCGCAAACCGUCGGUCGAGAAGGUGGGCAGCUAUAUUGCUAAGGAAGGCUGGCUAACCAACUGCCCCACUCCAGAUGAGAUUGCAAGAAUGUGGAAGCCAGCCUCCAGAGAAGCUGUGGAGGACAACAAAAUCAUCCUCAGAAGUGUUAUGACCCAGAGGUGGAAUGGCGUUGUGAUCAAAAACUUCAAUAAAGAAAAAGGGUUUGGAGUGGUUGCCAACAAGACUUUUUCCAAAGGGGACAUCAUUUGCGACUACCAUGGCGAAGUAGUCCCAGCUGCCGAAGGAAACCAGCGAAUGAAAGCGAUAACAGACGGAGCUGUUUACUUAUUUUUCUUUAAGGCUGGGGCGAGGCAACUCUGCAUUGAUGCACAAAGCUUUCCGUGCAAGUGCCAUCCGGAUAUGCAGACGGUUGGCCGAAUGCUAAACCAUUCCCGGAAAAAACCUAACCUGAAGCCACUGCACUGUGUGUUAAAAAUAAAUGAAACACCCACUGAUGUCAUUCUAUUCAAAGCCAUGCAUGACAUCAGAGUGGAUGAGGAGUUGAAAUUUGACUAUGGGGUGAACAGAAAGUCUUUUAGAGGGGAGGGGCUGGAUCUGGACUGGUUAGAUGACUAACCUGAAAUGUUUAAAGGACUUUCUGCAAGCAAGUUAACUGAUCCAGGGGUGGGGACCAGUAUUUUUAUUUUUAUUUAUUUUUUUAAAUAUGUUUUUUUAUAUUUGUAAAUAGUUCCUGAUUGUUUUGUGUUCAUAGGGCAAUAAAUGUUUCUUAAACCUAACUCUUUCUGAUUCUGAAUCUUCUGACUCUGUGGCUGUGUGCCCCCUGAUGUUGUGGAGCAGCUUGGAGUUAUUUGCUCCUAAGAUGUAUUACAGUCUCCUCUCUCCAGCUCUGCACAUUUUUUUAUUCAAGUCCCCACAUUGUUUAGUCAAAUAAAACGUUCAGCUGCAUUUCGUUUUUUAAUGGCAUGUUUGGUGUUUUUAAAAAUGCCUGGUCACCACUGUUAAUACACAAUAUAAGUAGAGUCGAUCAAAAGUGAUUUUAAACGAAUACAGCAUAGACUUUAGUUCUCUGCCAUGACGUGCUAAUGAGGCUCCCGUCUAGAGACGCAGCAGGGUCCCUUCCCCUGCAGUCAGUGGGGGAGGGGGAUUUGGCUGCAUGAGCGACACUCUGUUAGUCUCUGUGGGUUGUGUCUUCCAUAAAAUAGGUAUGAUUGAAGAUAUUAGGACCUUCUUCAAAUAUGAAGAGCUCUUGGUGGAUUUUAAAACAACCUGUAGGAUGACUUUAAUGUGACCAGCUGUAAGAUGGAGCGGCUCCGCGGCGUGGUUCUCCCACACCGCUUUCGGACAUCUUUCUCUCCAACGUGCGCCCACUGAGCAACAAACUGGACCAACUUCAUCUGCUGGGGACGAGAGACAGACACUUUUAUACAU